Molecule: ribosomal RNA, 256 nt
Filed under: uncultured bacterium
Lineage: Bacteria
Description: partial 16S ribosomal RNA
Rfam family: Bacterial small subunit ribosomal RNA
Source: RNAcentral
UAGCGGAGGGGGCUAGCGUUGUUCGGAAUUACUGGGCGUAAAGCGCACGUAGGCGGCUUUGUAAGUUAGAGGUGAAAGCCCAGGGCUUAACCCUGGAAUUGCCUUUAAGACUGCAUCGCUAGAAUCGUGGAGAGGUGAGUGGGAAUUCCGAGUGUAGAGGUGAAAUUCGUAGAUAUUCGGAAGAACACCAGUGGCGAAGGCGACUCACUGGACACGUAUUGACGCUGAGGUGCGAAAGCGUGGGGAGCGAACGAGG